CUUUCUCGGCCUUUUGGCUAAGAUCAAGUGUAGUAUCUGUUCUUAUCAGUUUAAUAUCUGAUAUGUGGGCCAUUGGUCCACACGAUAUUAAAUUACUUUUUUAAUGGGGAGAGUCCAACACAGUAGCUUGCUACUGGGCCUCUCAAGUGUCGCCCAAGCGUUGCACUAUAGCAUGGGCCUGGCACACCCUAUAACUACCUUUAAAUCUUUCUUGGCUUUGCAAACAUAGGUCAUGUUUAGGAAUUGCUAAUUGUGGAUAACAAGAAAAAAAAUUCUAAAUGGUGGCAAAAAUUCUAAAUAGUUUCCAAAAUACAAUGCCCGAACAAAAAUUUAAGCACCUUACAUUUCCUUGGUUUACCUUGACAACCAUGUAACUGCUUUUGGUUCCCUAUUCUAUUCGCAUAAUGAUCAGAUUCUCACUUAAUUGUCUUUGUUUAAUUGUUAUUGUUGCUUCCAGGCCUCUUGCCACUUUCAUUUUACUCCUUUUCUUUUUGUAUUUUUUGGUUUCCAAAUGAAUUUUUCUGGAUUGAAUACUGCAGUCAGGUAACAUUCACUAGAGAAAAGUAGAUUAAGUUUCUUGUAUCCUUGCCGUCAAGUUCUUAUACCAGGUAAUAACAUGUGAAUGCUUUUCUAAAAUUCUGCAACAUGAGGGUUUGAAUGUAAGGAAUUCGAUUUAGGUUUUGUCCUUGCUAAUUAUCAUUUUUUUGGGAAAAUGGCAACAUAUUUUAUUAUGUUUCAAAUGGUGGUGAAGUCCUUAGUCCAUGUGAACAUAUCAAUUUAGAUUAUGUUAUUGAAUACAAUGAAACUCAACGUAAAUACACCCUGGUUGCUCUUAAUGUUGAUUUCCUUGUGCUAAAAUUAAUUUUGGAAUUGUGUACCCUCUCAGUGUUCGAGUCUCCAAUAAUCUAGGAAUGCAACAUCCUAGAGCAGCCAAGUAUUCUUUCUUGGUGACAAUGUUUCACUCUCCUCUUUGGGGUGGUGCUGAUGAUUACUGUUUUCUUAAGUAAAGACAAUCUUGCUAUUAUCUUCACAAGCAGCAAGGAUAUGCAAUUAACUGUGGCUGAUCAAGCAUACCUUCUUGGUCUAACGAUGAUUAUAAAUAGUGCUGCACAAUUGAUGUCAGGUGUUGCCAUUGGAAGUGGAUGGAAACUGACGGUGGCUUAUAUUAAUUUAACCUGCUAUUAUAUGGUUGGACUCCCUCUUGGAUUUUAUUUGGUUUCACAUUGAAUUUAGGGGUCAAGGUAAAAUGCUGUAUUUCCAACUCACUUUCAUGUUUAUUUUCUUUUGAUCUAAAGACUUCCUCUUCUUUUGAUAAAAAAGAGAUAUAUUCAAAGGAGAAGAUGGUUCAAAAAUUAUACUAUGUAUGAAAAUAAAAGAUAAUUAAGUAAUUGAGAAAAACGAGACUCUUAAUAUCUUGAUUAUAUAUUCUAAUUUAUAAUAUAAGAGAAAAUAUUUAUAAAUCAAUUUCAAUGGAAUUUUGCAAUUGACAAUAGGAUUUUAUAAUUAUUCUACGAAUAUUUUGUUAGGAAGGAUAUAUAUAUAUAUAUAUAUAUAUACAUGGAUGGAUCUCGAACCCUCAUCUCUUGAUUUUUUAAAAGUUAAUUGGUAUAAAAUUAUAUGGGGGAUAACAGUAUAAUAUCCAAUAUCGAAAAUGGCUGGCUUGCUCAGGCGCUUAAAUGUUGUCAUAUUGAAAAUACCCAAUAAAAUACCCUUACUGUCUUGAUUUAAUUUAAAAAUAAAUUUAGCCCAAUGUCAUGAGAUUGGAUAAAGCUUUUUUACAUUCACACUAAAACAUUUGUCCUAUAAAUUGUCAGUUAUACACAGUAUGUUUAGGGGAAUAAGGUAAACUUUAUCAUCUUUUUUAUGAAAAAUAUGACCAGAGGGAAUAAGAUAAUUGAUAAUUGAGUUCAUACUAUUCCUACGCCAUCAAAUUACAAAUUCACCUAACUAAUCACAGUAUGCAUAGCAAAGUGAUCCAUUUUACACAAGAUUUACAAACAGAAUAGCCACUUUUGUUAACUGUAUUACAAGAUUGAAUGAAACUAAAGAUCCUGACUGUCUCCCCUGGAUUAAGAGGCCACUUGUAACAAAACUAA
Molecule: long non-coding RNA, 2096 nt
Organism: Glycine soja
Lineage: Eukaryota; Viridiplantae; Streptophyta; Magnoliopsida; Fabales; Fabaceae
Exons: 2
Source: RefSeq, a predicted model, not a curated record